RNAcentral lists this ribosomal RNA (380 nucleotides) under uncultured eukaryote. RNAcentral describes it as "partial 18S ribosomal RNA". It matches the Rfam family "Eukaryotic small subunit ribosomal RNA", at positions 592 to 976 of the family's 1831-position model. The record is from RNAcentral.
CAACAGCGUAUAUUAAAGUUGUUGCAGUUAAAACGCUCGUAGUCGGAUUUCGGGGCGGGCGGGCCGGUCUGCCGAUGGGUAUGCACUGGUCUGGCCGCCCUUCCUUCCGGAGACCGUGCGUGCUCUUAACUGAGUGCGCUCGGGAGACGGAUCGUUUACUUUGAAAAAAUCAGAGUGUUUCAAGCAGGCAGCUCGCUCUUGCAUGGAUUAGCAUGGGAUAAUGAAAUAGGACUUUGGUGCUAUUUUGUUGGUUUCGAACACCGAAGUAAUGAUUAACAGGGACAGUCAGGGGCACUCGUAUUCCGCCGAGAGAGGUGAAAUUCUCAGACCAGCGGAAGACGAACCACUGCGAAAGCAUUUGCCAGGGAUGUUUUCACUGA